AUAUUAAACCAGUUUAUUAUUAUUUUGUAUAAAUGCAUGUUUUCAAUAAUUUCUAAUGAAGUACUCAAAAUAUUCCAAAUUUCACAUUUUCCUAAUUGUUUAACAUUUCAAGGAAGGAGAAAAAUAGAUUUAAAGACUAUCGAGGGUGCAUUAUUAAAAAAAAAAUUCAUUAUUACAUGUACAAGGUGUGAUCAGAAAAUACGGGAACUUAUCCGAGAGAGGGCAGGUAAUUCUUUGCAAACUUUUCAGCCGUUUUUUUAUCCUGCAUGGCUCAACUACAAACACCACUAAUUUCAAAUUGUUUCAUUUAGUUAUUAAAAAGAUAUUAGUGGUAGUGUGUUGCUUCGAUUUAUAUUGCUUAUGAUUUUUUAAAUAUGGAUGUGUUAAGAGCAACAUAUAUGCAUAAAAUUUUGCAUUAAACUUGGAAAAAUGAACU
This 436-nucleotide long non-coding RNA is filed under the name Androctonus crassicauda. The record is from RNAcentral. Lineage: Eukaryota; Metazoa; Arthropoda; Arachnida; Scorpiones; Buthidae.